UUCUUGUGCAUCUCCACUCUAUCUGCCACAGCCUCCAUGAUUGCAUGGAGUUUAGCAAUCACCGAAGGAUCAGAAACAUCGCUCACAGAAGGGAAAAUACCAUUAGUACUCGGCUCGUAUUUCUUCUCCAAAUUGCUGGUGGUUGCAGCUGUGAGACCAACUCCCAUGUCCAGUACUUCCUGUAGUACCAAAUCUCUAGCGGGGAGGUUCAAAGAUAGGCGGCCGGGCUGGAGUUUAGGCAUAUUGAUAGUAGCUCUUAUCAUUCCUCUCCGGCAACGAGAUGAGGAAUAAGCCACUGACGUAAUAACAGCCGAUGAAAAUUGAAGACUCACCAUGUCCUCUCCUUGAACGAUCUGUAUGAGUUUCUUCUUGUUGCUAAGAUUGGUUGAUUCUAAUGGGUAUGUAGUGAAUGGCUUAGGCUUGUAGUGAAAUGUGGUGGCAAUGCAACCUGGAUUAUAUAUAGGGAAUGGGAGUGGACCAAGUACGCUAUUCAACGUUUGAAUGGUCUCAUGGGUCUUGGCUUAGACCUUUUCUUGUCUUUGGUUAAUUGGUGUUUCACCUCUCAAUUACGCUGCUUGUCAAAUAGGGCAUUGAGGCAGUACUUCAUUGACUUUUAACCUGCGAAAACCAGUAAAACCUUGAAAUAGGCGUAGGCAUUACAAGUACAUAUUUUAAUUAAGAGUUCAAAAUCCCAAUGAGUACGAACAAUUCCUUCAGCUCAUUAUCACUCGUUAGAGAUAUUUGUCAAAUGUUUUUGAGGUGAUAUAUGAUGAAGAAUUUAAAUUUAAAUUCCCAAUAAGGGGUCAUGACCAGAAAUAAUAAAAUCAACUUUUGCUUCUCCAAUAUUUCUGGGUCUGAAUUCUGUAGCCACAUAUCGUUGAUCAGCAGAUAUAUUUGACGUAACUAAAACAUGGGAUUUGUUCAAAGAUUACAAGUAUUUUGAGCAUUAUCACCAUUAUUUGGUCAAAAAGUGCUACUGUUAUAAUCCAACAUUCAGCCUGUCUGAGACCCAAAUGUUAUGGCUUAAAGCAAGCACUAAGUGCAUUGUAUGGUCAAAUUAAUGGAUACUUCAAGCAAAAAUCUAUGUUGUAUGUUAAGACGAGGUAUGAAUGAAAUAUUUGGUAUUUGCCUUUUAAGUUUAUGGUUUGAUUUAUACUAGUGAAUGUACGUAUUAUUUUAAUGAAAGAAUUUUAAAAAGAUGAUGAUCACUAAAUUUGAGAUGAUUGAUUUAACUUGAUGAGUUAUUUUCUUAUGUUGGAAAUACAGAAAUUUUUAUUUUUCAAGAGAAGUAUAAAAAUAUUCUUCUUUAGAAAUUUGAAAUGAAGAACUAAAAUCUAAUGAAAACUCUUAUGAAUGUCAAUGAAAAAUUUUAUUUGAAUGAUAGGGGAUAAAAGGUUGAUAUUCAAGAGUAAUGAAGUUUGGUUGGUAGCUUGUUAUAUCUCACCAAUAAUAGGUUAAAUAUUAUGCAAGCAACAAGUCUCUUAUUAAGGCUUAUGCAAAGUUCAAGCAAGCUUUAUUAUGAUGCAAGUAAGAAAGUCUUAAGAUAUUUAAAAGGAACAAGUUCAUAUAGUAUUUGGUACACUAAUAUAACUGAUCUUUAGCUUUGUUUUUUUUUUAAAAAUUUUGUAGUGAUUGGAUAGGUUUCAUCGAAGAUUGAAAAAUAACCAUAGGCUAUAUUUUCAAUCUUAGUUCAGGUUUGUGGAAUUCAAAGAGUCAUCAAUUGCUUUGUCUUCCUUAGAAGCGGAACAUAUUGCAACAACUUUUAGAGCUUAUGAAAUUAUUUGGUUAAGAGGAAUUUUAGAAGAUAUGAAACAACAUUAAGAAGAGCCCACAAUUAUCCAUUAUGAUAAUCAUUCAACGAUUUUUGUGACAAACAACCUCCAUGUUUCAUGGGUGCACAAAACAUAUAAAGAUACUUUUUCAUUUUAUCAAAGAGUUGGUAGUCAAAGUUAUUAUUAAGAUGAUAUAUUAUAACAUCAAUGAAUAACUUGGUGAUAUAUUUAUGAAAUCUCUAUCUUUAGAGAUAUUUGAGUUUUCACGGAUAUUUUAGGAGUUGCAACAUUUCAGCAUUAAGUAGAGAGUUGGAAUUAAUGUUGAUAUUUUAUUGGUUAGCUACAAUUUUAUUUUAAAUCAAAUAAAAUAAAAAAUAUAGUAUACCAUCUUUGGAAGUAUUCCAUACUUGUAUAAGUGGAUUAGUGUUAGUCAACUAGUAGUUAACUUAUUUAAGAAUUUGUUAGAGUUGGAUUGUUUAUUUAAAUGCAAAUUGAUUAAUAAAAAAUCAAUCUAAUUCAAUUAGACUUCUUGCUUCUUAUCCAAACAUUUUUAAGUGCUCUAUUUUAUUUUUACUUCUCACUUCUUAAUAGUUGAACUUCUUUUGGAUUAUCAGGCUCAUUCCUUAACUUAGGCUUUCUUUGGUGCGAUCGAUCUCACUUGUAGAUUUAGAAAUAUUUCCCUCAAAUAUGGGAAGAAAAUUGUGAAAAUAUUUCAAUUAAAAAGUAAAGAGUGUGUGUGGGAGGAGGAGGGAAAACAGGGAAACUAGAAUUAUACCAGGCACAUGCAAUGAUGCUGUGGAAGAUGACACGGAACUGGAGCAACACAUACUGGUGAUUGACCCAUCCCACCACCGGCUUGAAGGCCCAGAGCCGCAUUUACAUCCAUUAGAGAUUUUCAAAAGGAUGUAAUCAUAUCUGAUAGUGUAAAUAAUGAUCAAUGUAUACAGCACUGCUGGAUAAUCCUUCUUGAUCUUAGUUUUCACAUGGGUCUAGGGUCUUCUUGCAUUUCAUAAGAGUAUACAAUCUAAGGGUCUGGUCAUGGACUGUAAGUAUUUUAUAUCAAUGCCUCUAUGCCAAGCCUAGUCACCAAUCUGCAAUUUUUUUAGGCUUUGUUUAUAUGGUUGUUUACUCUAAAUUAAAUAUUGAUUGAGGAAUUUCUUAUGCCAAUAUGUAGCAAGGUCAACCAGGGAACUGGUUUACAUCCAAUGCCUUCAUUGCAUCUAUCUCUGAUGUGCAUAUGGCCCUCUAUUCCUAUGUAUUGCUUGCAAGAUUCCAUAUAGUAUUGAAGUUAUACAAGGAUCAAGGUGAGGGUUGCCUACCUAUAUUUCCAUGAAACUUGAAGAUAUGAUCAUGGACAUUACCCUCAACAACCAGCCCAUAGUAGACCAUUUAUACAAAGUUGUUCCAAGGUGAAGAUGUCAAUUAUUCGAUGACCCCCUGAAAUAAAUAAUUUAAUUCGGCAAUUAAUUAGAAUAGAACAACACGUUAGACAUAAAUCAGUACCCGUAGUAGACCCUAGGAUUUCCGGAAAUUUAAGGUUCACAUUUAACCCUAAAACUCCAUGAAAUCUAUAUAAAAACUGGAACAUUAUUUCUACAUCUUGGAGUCUAUUAAUUAAUUUUUCCUUCUUGUUGGAUUCAAAUUCCCAGCAUCAAAGUUCGUUAAAAUUCAAUGGAGUGACAACUAUCUACUGUAAAGAAAGAAUCAUUUGGUGGCAAACCCACCAUUUACUUUGCCUUAUGAUAGAAGUCAGAACCUCCUCAGACUCAAAAGUAUCUGCCUUAUUUCAAUAGAGUUCAAACGAAGGAAUGAUAAUUUUGACCUUUUCCAUGUAUAGUUUACACUGUUUUUCCUCCCCUCUAUAUAUAGUAUAUAUGGACUCGACUAACCCACCAACCCCAUACGAAAAUGAAACUUUUCUGUCUCAGAAGCUGCAUUUUCUUAGUUGCCAUUUAGAUUUUCAUGCUUUCUUCACUAGAAAAAAAAAAAAAAAAAAACCAAAGAAAUUUUAGAUGAUAAAGAAAAAGUAUAAAGUAUUGCAUUGUUUAUUAUUCAUGGACUUUCAUCUCCAAAUUGACCCAGAAAUACAUCGGUUUUAGCUGAAAGCAUAUAAAACUUUUUAAUUUUCAGUUUCGGUGAGCAGAUGUGUUCAAAUUGCUGAAUAGAAAACGGACUAAUUCAAUUUCCAUGGAAUAUUCAGACCUUUUAGCAGUCUGAUUUCAAUUGAAUGAAUGAAUAAAUGAAUUACUAGAUUGUACAGCCCUAUUGUGUUUAUAGACAAGGUUACAAUGAUAUACAAGAUUUAGUGUAUUAUCAACAAAACUGAGGAUGAACCACCACGAUAUUAGAAGAGCUUGCUUGCAAACUCUUCAAUGGCCUCUCCUUUUUUGGAAGAAGAAUAAGAGGAUGCUGCCAGAUCCUUGAGCCCGGACAAGCUUCUUCCUAGCUGUAGAGCCACCUUCAUUUCAAACAAUUCCCCAUUCUCUCUUCUCCCCACAUCUCUUUCAUUCAGAUUUGACUCUAUGCUCUCUUCCAUCAGCCGGAAGAAGCCUGCGUUGCCUCUAUACAUCUCAAACACCAUGCCCACUUGCCAGCCAUGCUCCAUUGUGUUCACCACGCUUGCCAUGGCUCCAGCUACGACUCCUAGUGUCGCGGCCCAGGGACCAUGAGAAGAUCCCACGAACGCAGUUCCACAAGCCGAUAAGCCUGUCAAUAAGGGGCCAGAAAUGGCGAGUAUCUUGUUAACUUUCAAGGCUAUUUUGCCCAGCCUCAAAUAGUCUUCAGUGUCCUUCCUCUUCAAAACCCCAACAACUUCUCUCAUUUCUUCCUCCAACUCCACACUCCAACCAUUUCCAUCUGUUCUCCCACUAUGCCUUUCCUGUCUUUGCCUGUGCUGCGGCCACCAUACAGCAGGUUCCACAGUUUUGGGGAAUUUAUCAAGCAUGGCUCCUAGUAAAGGAAGCGGGAAUGCCUUGUCCAGUGCCAAAACUUUCUCCAUGGCUUCCUCAACAUCGUUACUAGUAGGAGUGCCACAAGAGAGUGUUCUUUGAAUCUGGCCAUGAAGCUGCUUAAACAGCCUCGCAGCAUUGCGCUGUUCUUCGACGAGUUGAGAUGGCUGUAUCUUAUUCAUCACCACCAACAUCCCAGUGGCUGCCAAAUACAUCAGAGUUGAAGAGAGCUUCAGGGCCACAAGGGGUCCUCCUACACUUGUAGCAGCAAUUCCAGCCAUGGUUGCAGCAGUGAGUGUGAUUGCAUUAAUGGAUGUCAAAAGAAGAUGGUUCCAAUUAUCACGCUGCUCCCCGAUAUUCUUGUGCAUCUCCACUCUAUCUGCAACAGCCUCCAUGAUUUCAUGGAGCUUAGCAAUCACCAUAGGAUCAGAAACAUUGCUCACAGAAGGCAAAGUAGUAUUAGGUCUGGACUCGUAUUUCUUCUCUACAUGGCUGGUGGUUGCAGCUGUGAGACCAACUCCCAUGUCCAGUACUUCCUGUACCAGAUCUCUAGCGGGGAGCUUCAGAGAUAGGCCGCCAGUCCGGAGCUUAGGCAUAUUGAUAGUAGCUCUUAUCAUUCCUCUCCGGCAACAAGAUAAGGAAUGAGGCAAUGAACCAAUAACGCCUGAAGAUUGAAGACUUGCCAUGUCCUCUCCUCGUACGAUCUGUAUGAGUUUCUUCUGGUUGCUAAGAUUGGGUUAUUCUAAUGGACGGGUAUUGAAUGGCUUAGGCUUGAAGAAGUGUAGUGAAAUGGGGUGGAGAUGCAACCUGGAUUAUAUAUAGGGAAUGGGAGUGGACCAAGUAUGCUGUUCAACGUUUGAAUGGGAUCAUGGGUCUUGAUUUAGACUGUUUCUCGUCUUCGGUUUAUUGGGGGUUUCACCCUUCAAUUAGGCUGCUUAUAAGCCAGGGCAUUCAAGCAGUCCUCCAUUGACUUUCAACCUGAAAAAACCAGUAAAACCAAGGAAUUGGCAAAGACAUUACAAGUAUAUAUAUUUUAAUUAACUGUACAAAAUCCGAAUGAUUAUGAACAAUUCCCACAGCUCAUUUAUGACUUUUUAGAGAUAUUUGUCAAAUGGAUUGAGGUAAUAUAUGACCAAGAAUUUAAAUUCAAAUUCGUGGUAAUAGCACUAAUGGGUCAUGACCACAAACAAUAAAAUCAAUCUUUAAUUUGCUUCUCCAAUAUUUCUGGGUUUCAAACCUGUAGCCAUGGACACCACCUUUUUUUUUUUUUUUUUUCUUUGUUUCCCCUCUUCUUCUUUUUUUUUUUUUUUUUUUUUUGUGACUAAAUUGUUGCAAAAUUUAAUGAGAAAUUUAAAUACUUUGCACUGAAACCUCUUGUGCCUUGCUUAUCACAAUGAUAACACUUAAAUUACCUAAUCUUUCUUGUUGCCUUUCUAUUUAGUUUUUCUUAAUCCAUAUUCUUUAGUUACUUUGUGACUAUCACCUAAAAUAGUAUUUUCCCAAUCAAAAUAACAAAAUGAAUCCUCCACUCGUGAUUUCUAUGUUUGAGUGAGUGGGUAUAUGAGAGAAAGAGAGUCCAAUGGUAAGAAAUUAAUAUGUGAAAUUGAAAAUAAUUAAAAAAUUUACCUAUUUCAAGUGCUCAAUUCUUACCUGAAUGCAUGAGGGCUUUUAGAUUUUCACCAAAAAAAUAUGAGAAAACUCAUAUACCUAGGAUUAUAAUGUUAAGAGGUUUAUAAUUUAUCGAAAAAAAUAAAAAUUAUAAUAAACAAUUGAUCAAUCAUCAUGUAGACAGUCAAACUGUAAACAAAUUUAACAACAUUUAUAUCGCUAUAUAUUGAAAUCGUGCAAUCAAUCCACAAAUUGACCAAAAAUACUUACUCCAUCACAUCUAAUGGUUUGAUGAUAUUUAAUAUUUAAAUUUUGGGAACCAAACAUAUUCUAAGAAAUGCCUUUUUUUUUUUUAACUAGAUCCAUCAUCCUCGGCUGUUGCCAAACAAUACUAAAAUUAGAUCUCCUUUUGGGCAUUUCAAUUAUAUAUUUGAACAAUGCAAAGGGGUGAUAAUAUAAUUAUGUUACCAGUUCUUCACUUUUGAGUAAAUAAAUGGGAAUGGUGAGGACAAAGGGAUAAUGUCUGCACAUCGACAAGCCACCCCACAAUUUCUUCUCUUUUGGUCAUAUUCUUGAUUGCAUUUUCGCCAAAGUUCACAUCACAUAAAUUUAAAAUUAAUUAAAUGAAAGGUAAUCAUAGAAAAUGUAGCCAUAAUUACGACCUUAAUGCCUCUUGGAGUCUAUUUAAUGGAAUGACAACUAUCUACUGUAAAAAGAAUCAUUUGGUAGCAAACAUAUUCGUUGACUUUGGCUCCUAUGAUAAAAGUCAGUGUCUCCUCGACACACUGUCUUAUUUCAAUAGAGUUCAAACAAGGAAUGAUAAUUUUGAACUUUUCCAUGUGUGGAUCAUUAAUUACGUGGUUUGUCUUCUUCCAAUGACUUUUAUGCAUAUUAUGGAUUCUAAUAGCCAUCCAACCCCAUAAGAAAAUGAAAAUUUCAACCUCAGGAGCCGCAUUUUCUUAGUUGUCAUUUGGAUUAUCAUGCUUUCUUGCACUAGAAAGAAAACCAAAGAAACUUAGAUGAUAAAGAAAAUCGAUAAAUUAUCACAGUGACCCGGAAAAUGCAUCAGUUUUAGUUGAAUUCAUAAUUUCUUAAUUUUCAGUUUUGGUGAGCAGAUGUGUUCAAAUUGCUGUAUAGAAAAUGGACUAAUUCAAUUUCCAUGGAAUAUUCAGACCUUUUAGCAGUCUGAUUUCAAUUGACUGAAUGAAUACAUGAAUUACUAGAUUGUACAGCCCUAUUGUGUUUAUAGACAAGGUUAGCUUACAAUGAUAUACAAGAUUUAGUGUAUUAUCAACAAAACUGAGGAUGAACCACCACGAUAUUAGAAGAGCUUGCUUGCGAACUCUUCAAUGGCCUCUCCUUUUUUAGAAGAAGAACAAGAGGAUGCUGCCAGACUCUUGAGCCCGGACAAGCUUCUUCCUAGCUGUAGAGCCACCUUCGUUUCAAACAAUUCCCCGUUCUCUCUUCUCCCCACAUCUCUUUCAUUCAGAUUUGACUCUAUGCUCUCUUCCAUCAUCCGGAAGAAGCCUGCGUUGCUUCUAUACAUCUCAAACACCAUGCCCACUUGCCCGCCAUGCUCCAUUGUGUUCACCACGCUUGCCAUGGCUCCAGCUACGACUCCUAGUGUGGCGGCCCAGGGACCGUGAGAAGAUCCCACGAACGCAGUUCCACAAGCCGCUAAGCCUGUCAAUAAGGGACCAGAAAUGGCGAGCAUCCUGUUAACUUUCAAGGCUAUUUUGCCCAGCCUCAAAUAGUCUUCAGUGUCCUUUCUCUUCAAAACCCCAACUACUUCUCUCAUUUCUUCCUCCAACUCCACACUCCAACCAUUUCCAUCUGUUCUCCCACUCUGCCUGUCCUGCCUUUGCCUGUGCUCCGGCCACCAUACAGCAGGCUCCACAGUUUUGGGGAAUUUAUCGAGCAUCGCUCCUAGUAAAGGAAGCGGGAAGGCCUUGUCCAGUGACAAAACUUUCUCCAUAACUUCCUCAACAUCGGUACUAGUAGGAGUGCCACAAGAGAGUGUUCUUUGAAUCUGGCCAUGAAGCUGCUUAAACAACCUCGCGGCAUUGCGCUGUUCUUCGACGAGUUGAGAUGGCUGGAUCUUAUUCAUCACCACCAGCAUCCCAGUGGCUGCCAAAUACAUCAGAGUGGAAGAGAGCUUGAGAGCUACAAGGGGUCCUCCUACACUUGUAGCGGCAAUUCCAGCCAUGGUUGCAGCAGUGAGUGUGAUUGCAUUAAUGGAUGUCAAAAGAAGAUGGUUCCAAUUAUCACGCUGCUCACCGAUAUUCUUGUGCAUCUCCACUCUAUCUGCAACAGCCUCCAUCAUUGCAUGGAGUUUAGCGAUCACCAAAGGAUCAGAAACAUUGCUCACAGAAGGGAAAGUACCAUUAGUACUCAGCUCGUAUUUCUUCUCCAAAUUGCUGGUGGUUGCAGCUGUGAGACCAACCCCCAUGUCCAGUACUUCCUGUAGUACCAAAUCUCUAGCGGGGAGGUUCAAAGAUAGGCGGCCGGGCUGGAGUUUAGGCAUAUUGAUAGUAGCUCUUAUCAUUCCUCUCCGGCAACGAGAUGAGGAAUAAGCCACUGACGUAAUAACAGCCGAUGAAAAUUGAAGACUCACCAUGUCCUCUCCUUGAACGAUCUGUAUUGAGUUUCUUCUUGUUGCUAAGAUUGGUUGAUUCUAAUGGGUAUGUAGUGAAUGGCUUAGGCUUGUAGUGAAAUGUGGUGGCAAUGCAACCUGGAUUAUAUAUAGGGAAUGGGAGUGGACCAAGUACGCUAUUCAACGUUUGAAUGGUCUCAUGGGUCUUGGCUUAGACCGUUUCUUGUCUUUGGUUCAUUGGUGUUUCACUGCUUGUCAGCUUGGGCAUCGAGGCAGUACUUCAUUGACUUUCAACCUGCAAAAACCAGUAAAACCUUGAAAUAAUAAAAUCAACCUUUUGCUUCUCCAAUAUUUCUGGGUCUGAAUUCUGUAGCCAUAUAUCGUUGAUCAGCAGUGACGUAACUAAAACAUGGGAUUUGUUCAAAGAUUACAAGUAUUUUGAGCAUUAUCACCAUUUUAUGAAAUUUCCAGACGUCUUUCUUUCCAAUCAACAUACCGUAUUCCAAUGAGAGAAUAGGCUUUCUUUUUGUCAAUUUUUUUUUAAAAAAUUUUAUGACUAAAUCACAAAUUCAAAAUAAUUUAUUAGUAGGGUCAAUUAUUAUUCAAAAAUAACAAUGAGAAAUAAAGAGAUAAGUUUAGUCUUGAUAUUUUUUUUUUUUCUUACAAGCUUUAUAGUUUUUAUUUUUAUUUUUUAUCUAUACGUAUAUAUUUGAUUUUCUUCCUAUUUCUAUGACAAAUCAAAUAGAUAUUUUGAGUUUUUUAUAUUUUAUUUUAUUUUUUCCUUUUUUAUGAUCCUAACACAAGGUAAUUAAUUAUCAGAAAAAAAUCCCUCAAUUAUUAUAGGAAUUAUAUUAUAAUAAAAUGAUUGGUCUCAUUAAUGUUUAUAAUAUAAUUAAGAUAAUUGAUAAUAUAUAGAAGAAAAUGGAGAAGUUGUUGUUCUCAAUUAUAGUUUAUUUAAUAAAAAAAAAACAUUUUAAAUAUUUUUCUAACUUAGAAAACAAGUUUACAAAACUUGUACAAAAUCAAAAAUUUUUAAAAAUAAUUCUGAAAAUAAAACAUUUUUUCUUUUAAAAAAAAAAUUGACAAGUUUUCAAUUGUUUUUAAAGAAUAUUUUGAGUAAGAAAAAUGCUUUGGGACUUUUUCAUGGUACAUAAAAUAUAUAAAUACUUCUUAAGAAUAAACCACCAAAACUAUUUUUUAUAUUAAAUUUCUAAUCAAAAUUUUGUUAAUUUUGUUAAUUUUUCUUUUAAAAACGAUUAAGAAUUACUCUUAAUAUCUGUUCUAAAACUGUCGGCCCUUUGUAUUUGACUGGUCGCUGGACCAUGGAGCGGCGGUUAGAAUUUGACAGUUUGGCGGCAUCCUUUAGCAAAGAUGAGGUCAUGGGAAUAGGAGGACAGGCGCCAGUGGGCGCUGGCCCUAGUUUAUUUGGUCAAAAAGUGCUACUGUUAUAAUCCAACAUUCAGCCCUCCAUGGAAAUUGUCUUGAGACCCAAAUGUUAUGGCUUAAAGCAAGCACUAAAUGCAUCGUAUGAUCAAAUUAAUGGAUACGUCAAGGAACAAAGUGAAAAUCUAUGUUGUAUGUUAAGACAGGAGGUAUGAAUGAAAUACUUAGUAUUUGCCUUUAAGUUUAUGAUUUGAUUUAUACUAAUAAAUGUAUUAUUUUAAUGAAAGGAUUUUAAAAAGAUGAUGAUGAUUAAUUUGAGAUGAUUGAUUUAACUUGACGAGUUAUUUUCUUACCUGAUGAGUUGUUUUCUUAUGUUGGAAGUCAUCUAAUGGGAUGCAAAAAAAUUUAUUUUUCAAGAGAAGCAUGAAAAUAAUCUUCUGAAUGCCAAUAAAAAUUUUUGUUUAAAUGAUAAGGAAGAAAAGGUUGAUAUUCAAAUAUAAUGAAGUUUGAUUGGUAGCUUAUUAUAUCUCACCAACAAUGGGUUAGAUAUUAUGUAAGCAACAAAUCUCUUAUUAAGGUUUAUGCAGAAUUCAAGCAAGUUUCAUUACGGUGCAAGUAAGAAAGUAUUAAAAUAUUUAAAAUGAACAAGUUCAUAUAGAAUUUGGUACACUAAUACAACUGAAAGGAAAACCUGGUGACCUAUAUAUUUUUAGUAGAAAACACUACCCAUAUUCUCUAUCAAUCUCCUAUUAAUCUUGGUUGUAAUAUCCAUAUUCUCUAUCAAUCUUCUACCAAUCUCGGUUGUAAUUUACAGCUCACACACAUCUCUUGUUACCAGUAUAUAAUACAAUGAAUCACAAAGGAAUGACAUGCUCUCAUUUUUUUAUUCUUUGUGUAAACCUAACAAUAACUAAUCGUUAGCUUUGGAUUUUUUUUUUUAUUGUGAUUGGAUAGGUUUAAUCGAAGAUUGAAAAAUAACCAUACACUAUAUUUUCAAUCUUAGUUCAGGUUAGUGGAAUUCAAAGAGUCAUCAAUUGUUUUGUCUUCCUUAGAAGCGGAACAUAUUGCAACAACUUUUAGAGCUCAUGAAAUUGUUUGGUUAAGAGGAAUUUUAGAAGAUAUGAAACAACAUCAAGAAGAGCCCACAAUUAUCCAUUAUGAUAAUAUUCAACAAUUUUUGUGACAAAGAACCUCCUUGUUUCAGGGGUGCACAAAACAUAUAGAGAUACUUCUUCAUUUUAUCAAAGAGUUGACGGUCAAAGUAACUAUUAAAAUGAUAUAUUAUAACAUCAAUGAAUAACUUGCCGAUAUAUUUAUGAAAUCUCUAUCUUUAGAGACAUUUGAGUUUUCUUGGAUAUUUUAGGAGUUGCAACAUUUCAGCAUUAAGUAGAGAGUUGGAAUUAAUGUUGAUAUUUUAUUGGUUAGCUACAAUUUUAUUUUAAAUCAAAUAAGAUACCAAAUUUUGUACUUGUAUAAGUGGGUUAGUAUUAGAAGGCUAGUAGUUAACUUAUUUAAGAAUUUGUUAGAGUCAGAUUGUUUAUUUAAAUGCAAAAUGAUGAAUAAAAAAUCAAUCUAAUUCAAUUAGACUUCUUGCUUCUUAUCCAAACUUUUUUAAGUGCUCUAUUUUAUUUUACUUCUCACUUCCUAAUAGUUGAACUUCUUUUGGAUUAUCAGGGUCAUUCCUUAACUUAGGCUUUCUUUGGUGCUAUCAUCUCGCUUGUAGAUUUAGAAAUAUUUCCCUCAAAUAUGGGAAGAAAAAUGUGAAAAUAUUUCAAUUAAAAAGUAAAGAGUAUGUGGGGGAGGAGGAGGGAAAACAGGGAAACUAGUAUUAUACCAGGCACAUGCAAUGAUGCUGUGGAAGAUGACACGGAACUGGCCCUCUAUUCCUAUGUAUUGUUUGCAAGAUUUCAUAUAAUAUUGAAGUUAUACAAGGAUCAAGGUGAGGGUUGCCUAACUAUAUUUCCAUGAAAACUUGAAGAUAUGAUCAUGGACAUUACCAGCCCAUAGUAGACCAUGAAUACAAAGUUGUUCCAAGGUGGAGAUGUCAAUUAUUCGAUCAUGAACACCUUAAAUAAAUAAUUUAAUUCGAAAAUUAAUUAGAAUAAAACAACACGUUUGACAUAAAUCAGUACCCAUAGUAGACCCUAGGAUUUCCGGAAAUUUAAGGUUCACAUUUAACCCUAGAAGUCAACAUGUGUGUAAAAGUACUCCACGAAAUCUAUAUAAAACUAGAACAUUAUUUCUAAAUCUUGGAGUCUAUUAAUUAAUUUUUCCUUCCUGUUGGAUUCUAAUUCUCAGCAUCAAAGUUCGUUAAAAUUAAAUGGAGUGACAACUAUCUAGUGUAAAGAAAGAAUCAUUUGGUGGCAAACCCACCAUUUACUUUGGCUUAUGAUAGAAGUCCGAACCUCCUCAGACUCAAAACUACCUGCCUUAUUUCAAUAGGGUCCAAACGAAGGAAUGAUAAUUUUGACCUUUUCCAUGUAUAGUUUACAUUGUUUUUCCUCCUCCAAUGGCCUCUAUAUAUAGUAUAUAUGGACUCGACUAACCCACCAAUCCCAUAAGAAAAUAAAACUUUUUUGUCUCAGAAGCUGCAUUUUCUUAGUUGCCAUUUGGAUUUUCAUGCUUUCUUCACUAGAAAAAAAAAACUAAAGAAACUUUAGAUGAUAAGGAAAAAGUAUUAAGUAUUACAUUGUUUAUUAUUCAUGGACUUUCACUCCAAAUUGACCCAGAAUACAUCGGUUUUAGCUGAAAGCAUAUAAAACUUAUUAAUUUUCAGUUUUGAUGAGCAGAUGUGUUCAAAUUGCUGUAUAGAAAACCGACUAAUUCAAUUUCCAUGGAAUAUUCAGACCUUUUAGCAGUCUGAUUUCAAUUGAAUGAAUGAAUAAAUGAAUUACUAGAUUGUACAGCUCUAUUGUGUUUAUAGACAAGGUUAGCUUACAAUGAUAUACAAGAUUUAGUGUAUUAUCAACAAAACUGAGGAUGAACCACCACGAUAUUAGAAGAGCUUGCUUGCGAACUCUUCAAUGGCCUCUCCUUUUUGGGAAGAAGAAUAAGAGGAUGCUGCCAGAUCCUUGAGCCCGGACAAGCUUCUUCCUAGCUGUAGAGCCAUCUUCAUUCAAACAAUUCCCCAUUCUCUCUUCUCCCCACAUCUCUUUCAUUCAGAUUUGACUCUAUGCUCUCUUCCAUCAGCCGGAAGAAGCCUGCGUUGCCUCUAUACAUCUCAAACACCAUGCCCACUUGCCCGCCAUGCUCCAUUGUGUUCACCACGCUUGCCAUGGCUCCAGCUACGACUCCUAGUGUCGCGGCCCAGGGACCAUGAGAAGAUCCCACGAACGCAGUUCCACAAGCCGCUAAGCCUGUCAAUAAGGGGCCAGAAAUGGCGAGUAUCUUGUUGACUUUCAAGGCUAUUUUGCCCAGCCUCAAAUAGUCUUCAGUGUCCUUCCUCUUCAAAACCCCAACAACUUCUCUCAUUUCUUCCUCCAACUCCACACUCCAACCAUUUCCAUCUGUUCUGCCACUAUGCCUUUCCUGUCUUUGCCUGUGCUGCGGCCACCAUACAGCAGGUUCCACAGUUUCGGGGAAUUUAUCAAGCAUGGCUCCUAGUAAAGGAAGCGGGAAUGCCUUGUCCAGUGCCAAAACUUUCUCCAUGGCUUCCUCAACAUCGUUACUAGUAGGAGUGCCACAAGAGAGUGUUCUUUGAAUCUGGCCAUGAAGCUGCUUAAACAGCCUCGCAGCAUUGCGCUGUUCUUCGACGAGUUGAGAUGGCUGGAUCUUAUUCAUCACCACCAACAUCCCAGUGGCUGCCAAAUACAUCAGAGUUGAAGAGAGCUAGAGGGCCACAAGGGGUCCUCCUACACUUGUAGCAGCAAUUCCAGCCAUGGUUGCAGCAGUGAGUGUGAUUGCAUUAAUGGAUGUCAAAAGAAGAUGGUUCCAAUUAUCACGCUGCUCCCCGAUAUUCUUGUGCAUCUCCACUCUAUCUGCAACAGCCUCCAUGAUUUCAUGGAGCUUAGCAAUCACCAUAGGAUCAGAAACAUUGCUCACAGAAGGCAAAGUAGUAUUACGUCUGGACUUGUAUUUCUUCUCUACAUGGCUGGUGGUUGCAGCUGUGAGACCAACUCCCAUGUCCAGUACUUCCUGUACCAGAUCUCUAGCGGGGAACUUCAGAGAUAGGCCGCCAGUCCGGAGCUUAGGCAUAUUGAUAGUAGCUCUUAUCAUUCCUCUCCGGCAACAAGAUAAGGAAUGAGGCAAUGAACCAAUAACGCCUGAAGAUUGAAGUCUUGCCAUGUCCUCCCCUCGUAUGAUCUGUAUGAGUUUCUUCUGGUUGCUAAGAUUGGGUUAUUCUAAUGGACGGGUAUUGAAUGGCUUAGGCUUGAAGAAGUGUAGUGAAAUGGGGUGGAGAUGCAACCUGGAUUAUAUAUAGGGAAUGGGAGUGGGCCAAGUAUGCUGUUCAACGUUUGAAUGGGCUCAUGGGUCUUGAUUUAGACUGUUUCUCGUCUUCGGUUUAUUGGGGGUUUCACCCUUCAAUUAGGCUGCUUAUAAGCCAGGGCAUUCAAGCAGUCCUCCAUUGACUUUCAACCUGAAAAAACCAGUCAAACCAAGAAAUUGGCAAAGACAUUACAAGUAUAUAUAUUUUAAUUAACUGUACAAAAUCCGAAUGAUUAUGAACAAUUCCCACAGCUCAUUUAUGACUUUUUAGAGAUAUUUGUCAAAUGGAUUGAGGUAAUAUAUGACCAAGAAUUUAAAUUCAAAUUCGUGGUAAUAGCACUGAUGGGUCAUGACCACAAACAAUAAAAUCAACCUCUAAUUUGCUUCUCCAAUAUUUCUGGGUUUCAAACCUGUAGCCAUGGACACCACCUUUUUUUUUUUUUUUUUUCUUUGUUUCCCCUCUUUUUUUUUUUUUUGUGACUAAAUUGUUGCAAAAUUUAAUGAGAAAUUUAAAUACUUUGCACUGAAACCUCUUGUGCCUUGCUUAUCACAAUGAUAACACUUAAAUUACCUAAUCUUUCCUAUUGCCUUUCUAUUUAGUUUUUCUUAAUCCAUAUUCUUUAGUUACUUUGUGACUAUCACCUAAAAUAGUAUUUUCCCAAUCAAAAUAAAAAAAUGAAUCCUCCACUAUUGAUUUCUAAUUUGUAUAAUUUGUAACCAUCAGUUUUAUAAUUAGCACAAUACUAAAAAUCCUUGAAUAACAAAAGCUAUAAUAAUACUUGUUGGGAAAAAAAUUAGGACAUUUCAAUAAUUCAGAUAUAAAAACUGAAAGUUUAAGAUCUUGUAUUGUGGAACUACCCAAAAAGAGGGAUAUGCAAUUUAUGUAGUUUUUAUUGAUUUAGCCCAAAGGUUACAAAUUUUUAGUUUUUAUAUGUUCUUUGAUUAGAAAAUAAUUGACCAAUACAAACAAAGAGUACUCAAUCAUAUACAUGGAUAUGCAAUAUAUAUAGAAAACCACUUAUAAAGUUUCUCAAAGACUUUAGGAAUUUAAAACCUUUAGGGUCAAAGAGCAUAAAACUAGAAUUCACUAAAUUUUAAAAAUUAGGUAUAUGGUUUUAUCUCAUAGUUGCUACUUCUUCAUAAUAUACAUAUAUUCUCACAUCUACAACGUAACACCUCUGAACACUUUAGUAAACUCUUCAAUACCUUAAUGUGAAAUGAUUCUAAUACCUCAAAUCCAACUAAUUUUGAUUUUGAUUUUGAUUUUUUUUUUGUGACAAUGUUAAGUGCAAAGAAUAAUGACAUAAAUUUUAGGCACAUUAAUUCAAAAUCAUACAAUAGCAUACAUAUGUAUAAGGGAUAAACCCUAGUAGACUUGGACUCAAAUUAAAAAUAACAUUUCGCCCAAAAAAAAAAAAAAACUUGAGAAAAUUAGGAACUUUGGAAAACUGUUGAAACCGGGUUGGUUAGUGUUAUGCGUGUCCCUUUCUUCUUUCUUUUUUCUCUCCCUCUUGUCUUAUUUUUAUGUUUGAGUGAGUGGGUAUCACAAGAUUCACAACCACCACAUGGAAAGGGUGACACCAACUUAUAUAUAUAAAUAUAUAAGAGAGAAAGAGAGUCCAAUGGUAAGAAAUUAAUAUACUGUGAAAUUGAAAAUAAUUAAAAAAUUUACUUAUUUCAAGUGCUCAAUUCUUACUUGAAUGCAUAAGGGCUUUUAGAUUUUCACCAAAAAAAUAUGAGAAAACUCAUAUACCUAGGAUUAUAACGUCAAGAGGUUUAUAAUUUAUCGAAAAAAAUAAAAAUUAUAAUAAACAAUUGAUCAAUCAUCAUGUAGACAGUCAAACUGUAAACAAAUUUUAACAACAUUUAUAUCGCUAUAUAUUGAAAUCGUGCAAUCAAUCCACAAAUUGACCAAAAAUACUUACUCUAAGUGGUCAACACUAUUUAGUCACCUUCGAAGAGCUGGUGAGGUCCCCACAAUACUCCAUCACAUCUAAUGGUUUGAUGAUAUUUAAUAUUUAAAUUUUGGGAACCAAAAAUAUUCUAAGAAAUGCCUUUUUUUUUUUUAACUAGAUCCAUCAUCCUCGGCUGUUGCCAAACAAUACUAAAAGCAGAUCUCCUUUUGGGCAUUUCAAUUAUAUAUUUGAAUAAUGCAAAGGGAUGAUAAUAUAAUUAUGUUACCAGUUUCACUUUUGAGUAAAUAAAUGGGAAUGGUGAGGACAAAGGGAUAAUGUCUGCACAUCGACAAGCCACCCCACAAUUUCUUCUUUUUUGGUCAUAUUCUUGAUUGCAUUUUCGCCAAAGUUCACAUCACAUAAAUUUAUCAUUAAUUAAAUGAAAGGUAAUCAUAGAAAAUGUAGCCAUAAUUACGACCUUAAUGCCUCUUGGAGUCUAUUCAAUGGAAUGACAACUAUCUACUGUAAAAAGAAUCAUUUGGUAGCAAACCUAUUCGUUGACUUUGGCUCCUAUGAUAAAAGUCAGUGUCUCCUCGACACACUGUCUUAUUUCAAUAGAGUUAAGGAAUGAUAAUUUUGAACUUUUCCAUGUGUGGAUCAUUAAUUACGUGGUUUGUCUUCUUCCAAUGACUUUUAUGCAUAUUAUGGAUUCUAAUAGCCAACCAACCCCAUAAGAAAAUGAAAUUUUCAACCUCAGGAGCCGCAUUUUCUUAGUUGUCAUUUGGAUUAUCAUGCUUUCUUGCACUAGAAAGAAAACCAAAGAAACUUAGAUGAUAAAGAAAAUCGAUAAAUUAUCACAGUGACCCAGAAAAUACAUCAGUUUUAGCUGAAUGCAUAUUUUCUCAAUUUUCAGUUUUGGGGGCGUUGUGUACAAAUUGCUGUAUAGAAAAUGGACUAAUUCAAUUUCCAUGGAAUAUUCAGACCCCCACUAGUCUGAUUUCAAUUGCAUGAAUGAAUAAAUGAAUUACUAGAUUGUACAGCUCUAUUGUGUUUAUAGACAAGGUUAGCUUACAAUGAUAUGCAAGAUUUAGUGUAUUAUCAACAAAACUGAGGAUGAACCUCUAGGAUACUAGAAGAGCUUGCUUGCGAACUCUUCAAUGGCCUCUCCCUUUUUAGAAGAAGAAUAAGAGGAUGCUGCCAGACCCUUGAGCCCGGACAAGCUUCUUCCUAGCUGUAGAGCCACCUUCGUUUCAAACAAUUCCCCGUUCUCUCUUCUCCCCACAUCUCUUUCAUUCAGAUUUGACUCUAUGCUCUCUUCCAUCAGCCGGAAGAAGCCUGCGUUGCUUCUAUACAUCUCAAACACCAUGCCCACUUGCCCGCCAUGCUCCAUUGUGUUCACCACGCUUGCCAUGGCUCCAGCUACGACUCCUAGUGUGGCGGCCCAGGGACCGUGAGAAGAUCCCACGAACGCAGUUCCACAAGCCGCUAAGCCUGUCAAUAAGGGACCAGAAAUGGCGAGCAUCCUGUUAACUUUCAAGGCUAUUUUGCCCAGCCUCAAAUAGUCUUCAGUGUCCUUUCUCUUCAAAACCCCGACAACUUCUCUCAUUUCUUCCUCCAACUCCACACGCCAACCAUUUCCAUCUGUUCUCCCACUCUGCCUUUCCUGCCUUUGCCUGUGCUCCGGCCACCAUACAGCAGGCUCCACAGUUUUGGGGAAUUUAUCGAGCAUCGCUCCUAGUAAAGGAAGCGGGAAGGCCUUGUCCAGUGACAAAACUUUCUCCAUAACUUCCUCAACAUCGGUACUAGUAGGAGUGCCACAAGAGAGUGUUCUUUGAAUCUGGCCAUGAAGCUGCUUAAACAACCUCGCGGCAUUGCGCUGUUCUUCGACGAGUUGAGAUGGCUGGAUCUUAUUCAUCACCACCAACAUCCCAGUGGCUGCCAAAUACAUCAGAGUGGAAGAGAGCUUGAGAGCUACAAGGGGUCCUCCUACACUUGUAGCAGCAAUUCCAGCCAUGGUUGCAGCAGUGAGUGUGAUUGCAUUAAUGGAUGUCAAAAGAAGAUGGUUCCAAUUAUCACGCUGCUCCCCGAUAUUCUUGUGCGUCUCCACUCUAUCUGCAACAGCCUCCAUGAUUGCAUGGAGUUUAGCAAUCACCAAAGGAUCAGAAACAUUGCUCACAGAAGGGAAAGUACCAUUAGUACUCAGCUCGUAUUUCUUCUCCAAAUUGCUGGUGGUUGCUGUUGAGAUAUUAAAAAUGCUUUCCGUAUAUCAUUCUUUCCUUAUAUUAUUUAGUGUUGAGAUAUUAGGAAUGUUUAAAUAUUAGGAAAGUUGAGAUAUUAAGAAUAUUGAGAUAUUAAGAAAGUUGAGAUAUUAGGAUAUUAGUUGUUAUUUCUUUAUAUCAUUCUUUCCUUGUAUCAUUCCUUCCCAUUCUUAGAAUGGUGAUUACCCUCUAUAUAUUCUCUAUACAUGAAUGAAUGAAAGUAUGAAUGAAAAAAACUAUCAUUUAUCAAUUUGAACAUACCAUGUUCAAAUUGAUGAAUGGUAGUUUUUCAUUCAUCAAUUUGAACAUGGUAUCAGAGCCAUGGAACUGAAAUCCUGGAUAUUUUGUCGCUAUAGUAGUCCGACAGCGAUCAUCCAUCCUAAGACAAGCCCUAAUAUUGAUAAGUCAACCUUCAAAUGCACUCACUAUAAUAAGAUUGAUCCCACCAAUCUGGAUAUCCCACAAUUUCAAAGCAACGACUCUUGGUAUGACUAGGAAAACAAUGAGGAACCGAGGAUUUGAACCAUGGACCUUUAGAUCAUGUUUAGGCUAUCAACAUUUUGUUAUUAAUGAUAAUAAUCGUGAUCAACGGAAGAAAGAUUCCAAGAAAACCUCGAUUGCAACUGUUGCCGAAAUAAAAAUAGAGGCUAAUGUUGUUGAGAAAGCCUCUGCAUUGGUAGCCGCUACAGAUCAUGAUGGUAAGUUUUUAAAUACUUUUACACCUGUUAUUAAUAGUGCAUGGAUAAUUGAUUCUGGUGCUACAGAUCAUAUGACUUUUGAUUCUAGACAGGUUUCACCACUUAGACCUUCCUCACAAAAAAUUAUUUCCACAGCCAAUGGUAACACAACCCCAGUCAUUGGGGAAGGAUCCUUAAAUCUUAAUGAUACUUUGAAUUUGGAUUCUGUUUUAGUUGUUCCAUCUUUAGAUUACAAUCUUUUGUAAGUUUAUGAAAUCACCGCAGUAUUAUCUUAUAGUUUCAUUUUUUGGCCUGAAUUUUGUGUGAUUCAGGACAUCCAAACAAGCUAAAAGAUUGGUUGUGGUAUUAUGAGGAAAGGACUCUAUUACUGGGACUUGCAGUAAAAGGAUUCAAAUANNNNNNNNNNNNNNNNNNNNNNNNNNNNNNNNNNNNNNNNNNNNNNNNNNNNNNNNNNNNNNNNNNNNNNNNNNNNNNNNNNNNNNNNNNNNNNNNNNNNAAGAGUGGCUCAUGUUGGUUUGUUACUUUUAUUGAUGAUUGUACUAGAAUGACAUGGUUAUGUUUGAUGAAGACCAAAGAUGAAGUGAACUUGUUGUUUCAAAAAUUUCAUAAAAUGAUUGAAACUCAGUACAAUGCAAAGGUUCGGGUUCUGCGUAGUGAUAAUGGUGGAGAAUAUCAAAGUUCUGAUCUUCAAAAGUAUUUGGAAGGACAUGGCAUCAUUCAUCAGACUACUUGUUCCAAUACACCCCAGUAAAAUGCAAUCGCUGAACGGAAAAAUCGACACUUGUUAGAGGUUGUUCGUGCUUCUUUGAUAGCAACAAAAACACCGAUAUCUUAUUGGGGAGAAGCAAUCACAUCUGCCGUAUACUUGAUCAAUCGGGUACCUUCCAGCUCAAUUAACUUCCAAACACCUCUCCAAGCUCUUACUAAUGUCGUAGUUGCCCCAACUGUCCCAAAUCUACCUCCUCGUGUUUUUGGUUGUGUGGCAUUUGUGCAUCUAUACAAACACCAAUGCACCAAGUUAACUUCUCAUGCAUUGCAAUGUGUGUUUGUUGGAUAUGCAUUGCACAAAAAGGGAUAUCGAUGUUACCAUCCUCCAACUCGACAAAUGUAUAUUACAAUAGAUGUGGUGUUUCAUGAAGAUUCGAUGUAUUUUUCAUCUGAGUCUGAACUUCAGGGGGAGUACCAUAAGGAAAUUCAGACUCUCGAUUAUGAUUAUCAUAUCUCUAAGGAGAAUGAAUUUGGACAAUCUGAACUAGUGAACCAAGAAGCGGGUGAGUUGGAUAUGAGUGGUCAAUAAUUUGGGUCCGAAGAUGUCUUCACUGAAAUACCAAACCAAUCGUCGUCUGUUGAAGGUGUUUUUAAUUUGGAACCUGAUCCAUUCAUGAAACGGUUACCACACCGUCAUAAUAGAGGUAUUCCUAAACCCACAUAUGAACCUGAAUUGUCUACCAAAGUCAAAUAUCCCAUGAGCAACUAUGUGUCUAACCAUCGUUUGUUUGAAUCAAAUAAGUCAUUUGUAAAUCAAUUAUCUACUGUAACUAUUCCUAACAGUGUGCAGGAAGCCUUAGCUGAUCCAAGAUGGAAAGCAGCCAUGAAUGAAGAGAUGAAAUCAUUGCAGAAGAAUGAAACAUGGGAACUCGUAGAAUGUCCACCAGGAAAGAAACCAGUUGGGUGUCGUUGGAUCUAUACUGUGAAAUACAAGGCAGAUGGUAGUAUUGAACGAUUUAAAGCAAGACUGGUAGCAAAAGGGUACACUCAAACUUAUGGAAUUGACUACACAAAGACAUUUGCACCUGUAGCUAAGAUCAACACAGUUCGAGUAUUACUAUCUUUAGCUGUAAACCUAGAUUGGCCAUUACAAAAGUUCGAUGUGAAAAAUGUUUUUCUGUAUGGCGAGUUAUCUGAAGAAGUAUAUGUGGAUCUUCCACCAGGAUGCAUGGUGUCAGAAAAGCAAUGUCACAAGGCGUGCAAAUUAAAGAAGUCAUUGUAUGGGUUGAAGUAAUCCCCGAGAGCAUGGUUUGGAAGGUUUACAAAGUCAAUGAGAGCUUUUGGCUAUCGUCAAAGUAAUUCAGAUCAUACUUUGUUCCUGAAAAAGCAACAUGGUAAGAUUACCGCACUCAUCGUAUAUGUGGAUGACAUGGUAGUUACAGGAAAUGAUCCUGAAGAAAGAAAAGCUCUGCAAAAUUAUCUAUCUAGAGAAUUCGAAAUGAAAUAUCUAGGUCCUCUGAAAUACUUUCUUGGGAUUGAAGUUUCUCGAUCAAGUGAAGGAAUUUUUCUGUCUCAAAGAAAGUAUGCCUUAGAUCUUUUACAGGAGACUAGAAUGUCGGGAUGUCAACCUAUUAAUACACCAAUAGAAGAAGGUUUGAAAUUGUGUGUUGAGCCUAAUCAAGUAUCAAUCGAUAAGGGAAGAUACCAGAGACUUGUGGGGAGAUUAAUGUACUUAGCUCUGAUACCAUCUUCAAAUUGAUAAAUAGUAGUUUUUUCCAUUCAUACUUUCAUUCGUUCAUGUAUAGAGAAUAUAUAGAGGGUAAUCACCAUUUUAAGAAUGGGAAGGAAUGAUACAAGGAAAGAAUGAUAUAAGGAAAUAACAACUAAUAUCUUAAUAUCUCAACUUUCAUAAUAUCUCAAUAUUCCUAAUAUCUCAAUAUUCUUAAUGUCUCAACUUUCCUAAUAUUUAAACAUUCCUAAUAUCUCACGUCGCUCGUUCAAGUGCAGAAGCAAAAUUUAGAGGUAUGACUCUAGGACUUUGUGAGGCAUUAUGGCUAAGACUUCUCUUAUAAGAUUUAGGUUACCUAUCUAAGCAACCAAUCCGAUUGUUUUGUGACAAUAAAGUCGCAUGUGACAUUGCUCAUAAUCCAGUACAACAUGAUAGUACAAAGCAUGUCGAGGUGGAUAGAUUCUUCAUUAAGGAAAAGUUGGAUGAUAAGAUUGUGGAAUUGCCUAAGAUUCGAUCAGAAGAUCAAUUGACCGAUAUUCUCACCAAAGCUGUCUCAAGUCAAGUGUUCUCAAAAUUUUUAGACAAGUUGGACAUGUGUGACAUCUAUGCACCAACUUGAGGGGGAGUGUUGAGAUAUUAGGAAUGUUUUCCGUAUAUCAUUCUUUCCUUAUAUUAUUUAGUGUUGAGAUAUUAGGAAUGUUUAAAUAUUAGGAAAGUUGAGAUAUUAAGAAUAUUGAGAUAUUAGGAAAGUUGAUAUAUUAGGAUAUUAGUUGUUAUUUCCUUAUAUCAUUCUUUCCUUAUAUUAUUCCUUCCCAUUCUUAGAAUGGUGAUUACCCUCUAUAUAUUCUCUGUACAUGAACGAAUGAAAGUAUGAAUGGAAAAAACUACUAUUUAUCAAUUUGAAGAGUUGCAGCUAUGAGACCAACUCCCAUAUCCAGUACUUCCUGUAGUACCAACUCUCUAGCGAGGAGGUUUAAAGAUAGGCGGAUGGGCUGGAGCUUAGGCAUAUUGAUAGUAGCUCUUAUCAUUCCUCUCCGGCAACGAGAUGAGGAAUAAGCCACUGACGUAAUAACAGCCGAUGAAAAUUGAAGACUCACCAUAUCCUCUCCUUGUACGAUCUGUAUGAGUUUCUUCUUGUUGCUA
RNAcentral lists this long non-coding RNA (23160 nucleotides) under Vitis vinifera (wine grape). RNAcentral describes it as "long non-coding RNA (VVIN_LNC003087)". The record is from RNAcentral. Lineage: Eukaryota; Viridiplantae; Streptophyta; Magnoliopsida; Vitales; Vitaceae.